RNAcentral lists this ribosomal RNA (372 nucleotides) under uncultured prokaryote. Its description in RNAcentral is "partial 16S ribosomal RNA". The record is from RNAcentral.
UGGGGGAGCACAUUGUAGCAUUGUGCCAAUUCAUCCAUUAACUUCUCAGUAACAGAUACAAACUCAUCACGAACGUCAGAAGCAGCCUUAUGGCCGUCAACAUACAUAUCACCAUUAUCGAACUCAACGCCCUGCAUACGAAAAGACAGAAUCUCUUCCAAGAGCUUGAUGCGGUUAUCCAUCUGCUUAUGGAAGCCAAGCAUUGGGGAUUGAGAAAGAGUAGAAAUGCCACAAGCCUCAAUAGCAGGUUUAAGAGCCUCGAUACGCUCAAAGUCAAAAUAAUCAGCGUGACAUUCAGAAGGGUAAUAAGAACGAACCAUAAAAAAGCCUCCAAGAUUUGGAGGCAUGAAAACAUACAAUUGGGAGGGUGUC